AACUAACGCUGGCGGCGUGCCUAACACAUGCAAGUCGAGCGGUCGCCAUUUUGUAGCAAUACAGAAGAAGCGAUAGCGGCAGACGGGUGAGUAACACGUAACCAAUCUACCUUACCGUCCGGGAUAACCAACCGAAAGGUUAGCUAAUACCUGAUACGCCUAUCGAACGGCAUCGUUUGAUAGUGAAAGCAGCAAUGCGCGGUUUGAGGAGGUUGCGGCCCAUUAGCCAGUUGGCGGGGUAACGGCCCACCAAAGCAACGAUGGGUAGCU
RNAcentral lists this ribosomal RNA (270 nucleotides) under uncultured bacterium. RNAcentral's name for it is "partial 16S ribosomal RNA". It matches the Rfam family "Bacterial small subunit ribosomal RNA", at positions 29 to 288 of the family's 1533-position model. The record is from RNAcentral.